UACGUAGGUGGCAAGCGUUGUCCGGAAUUAUUGGGCGUAAAGCGUGCGCAGGCGGUCUGCUAAGAGAGGUGUGAAAUCCCCGGGCUUAACCUGGGAACUGCGCUUCUAACUGGCAGGCUAGAGUGUGGCAGAGGGGGGUGGAAUUCCACGUGUAGCAGUGAAAUGCGUAGAGAUGUGGAGGAACACCGAUGGCGAAGGCAGCCCCCUGGGCUAACACUGACGCUCAUGCACGAAAGCGUGGGGAGCAAACAGG
RNAcentral lists this ribosomal RNA (253 nucleotides) under uncultured bacterium. RNAcentral describes it as "partial 16S ribosomal RNA". It matches the Rfam family "Bacterial small subunit ribosomal RNA", at positions 524 to 776 of the family's 1533-position model. The record is from RNAcentral.